CCUGGCUUGCAGCAGACCGGCCGCAGCUGGCUGAUUGAAAGGAAGCAGGGACUCCGCUGAUGGCUCGGGACAGAGAAGGCAGCUGCAACAGCAAAACCCUGCAGGCCAGCCCCACGGCUGAAGAACCUGAGGCACAGAUGGGCAGCUAGGGAGAGGCAGGAGGUCUGGACAAUCAUCUGCCCCCUUUAGGGCGUCCGGGGAGGCCAGCGUGGUGUUUCAGACGUGGGGAAGGAAGCCUCGGGGGCCGUGAUCUCUCUAAUGGAGAAUUCGCCCAGUCAGAGGCUGUUUGCCUGUUAAUACCACAAUAGCAGAAUGGUCAUUUGUUGAAGGCCUGUGUGACUUCUAACCUCACAUUAACCUUGAUGGGCGGGGGAGAUGGCUAAACCCUGUGUUACACGUGGGGAAAUUGAAAAUUAGAGACGGUGAGUAACUCCUGAGAGCUUACCAGCAAGCAAGGCUCACAGAGGACUGGAAAGCAGACUGCCUGGGCCGCAGAGCCUGGGCGGUUCCUGUUCUAGUACCCGGGGCUGGGAGUGAGGGCAGCCUCUUGGGAACUUGUGAACUUGUGAACCUGUGUAUGCUUUCCAUUUGUCCUUUCGUUUAAUUAAUUAAUUAAUUAAUUUUAAAAGUGCCUAACUUAUUGCCAAGAGUGAAAGUGUGUAAGGACCUUAGAGCUGGGCCUGACCUGCCUCAAACUUCAGUGGCUCUGAGUUUCAGUUACUCUAUGCCGCCUUGGGGGACCAGGGCAGGAAGCCAGUGGGAAGUCUCUGGGACCCAGCGGCCUUACCUAGUGAGGAUCCAGAGCCGGAAGACACCUGUGUCUGGUUCACAGCUGGGACUUAACUGCUGUGAUUGGCCCUGGAGACGGCUCAGACAAUAGCUUCCAUGAGAUUGGAGACCCUUCCCCCCCCCCCGCCCGCCCCUUUUCCUCUCUCCGUGUCCCCAGGCCAGUCCCCAACCCUUGAUUCCAACAGUAGACCUGCAGCUGCCGAGAUAUG
This is a long non-coding RNA of Mustela erminea (ermine), 998 nucleotides long. RefSeq lists it as uncharacterized. The transcript is spliced from 3 exons. The record is from RefSeq and is a predicted model, not a curated record. Lineage: Eukaryota; Metazoa; Chordata; Mammalia; Carnivora; Mustelidae.